AGCGAACGCUGGCGGCAGGCCUAACACAUGCCAGUCGAACGAACCUUUCGGGGUUAGUGGCGGACGGGUGAGUAACACGUGGGAACGUGCCUUUAGGUUCGGAAUAACUCAGGGAAACUUGUGCUAAUACCGAAUGUGCCCUUCGGGGGAAAGAUUUAUCGCCUUUAGAGCGGCCCGCGUCUGAUUAGCUAGUUGGUUGAGGUAAUGGCUCACCAAGGCGACGAUCAGUAGCUGGUCUGAGAGGAUGAUCAGCCACAUUGGGACUGAGACACGGCCCAAACUCCUACGGGAGGCAGCAGUGGGGAAUCUUGCGCAAUGGGCGAAAGCCUGACGCAGCCAUGCCGCGUGAAUGAUGAAGGUCUCAGGAUUGUAAAAUUCUUUCACCGGGGACGAUAAUGACGGUACCCGGAGAAGAAGCCCCGGCUAACUUCGUG
RNAcentral lists this ribosomal RNA (434 nucleotides) under uncultured bacterium. RNAcentral's name for it is "partial 16S ribosomal RNA". It matches the Rfam family "Bacterial small subunit ribosomal RNA", at positions 29 to 507 of the family's 1533-position model. The record is from RNAcentral.